AAACCCAUUCUUCAGUACAUCACUUAUAUUUACCACUCCCAGGUCUCUUAGCCCCCUUCUCAGGACAUCUCCCUCUGCCUCGUACCUCUGACAUGCCAUCAAAACAUGGUCCAGUUUCCUCUACUUAUCGCACCCUUCCAUUACGAUGUUUCCCAACCACAGAGGGAACUGUUAAGACCAGUAUGGCCAUUUCCUAUUCUUGUCAUUACCCUCUCCUCUUUUCUCUUUUGUCCACUAGCUCCUGCACUCCCAACAAAUGGUUUGUUUUUAAAAAGAUUUUAGAUUCUUUGUUCCAUUCAUUCUGCCAUAUCUUUUUGAUUUGUCCCUUAAUCACCCCUUUAGCCUCUGACUUACUCAUCUUUAUAUUGACUAUAUUUCUCCCACUUUUCAGCGCCCUUUUUGCUGCUUGAUCCGCCUCCUCAUUUCCAUCGACUCCAACAUGGGCAGGGACCCACACAAACCUUACUGCCAUCUGCAUUUGAUGGAUUAUGAAUAGAGAUUGUAGAAUUUCAAACAUUACAUUUUCUCUGCUUCUGGAGUGGCAAAACUUCCCUACUCGUUAGCACGGCACAUGAGUCUCUGGCCUGACGUCCUCUACCCACCGUAGAGAAAAAACUAUGGCCAUCAUCUCGCAUGUAAACACUAAUAAGUCAUCACUGAGUAUUUUCUCACACUAGAAUUCUGGUAUCACUGCUGCAGCUGCUCUUCUACCAGUUUCAGGGUCCUUAGCGCCGUCUGUAUACAUUUUUAUAUAUCUAUGGUAAUUCCUUCUGAUAUAUGACUUGCAGAUCUUACAUUUACCCCCACACUCAUCUCUCAUCAGUUCAAGUAGUCCCAGGUCCACUUCAGGCUGUGGCAGUGUCCAAGGGCGAACAGCUGGCUAUAAUGGUGAAUCUCAUUAGGGUCAACAGGUGCAAUUGACUGCAGGUGCGCAGCUCUGCCCCUUUAAAGAACCUGGUGUGGUACGGAGGAAGGCAGCAGUUGGAGCAGCACGGAGCGGAGGUGUACAAGAGGACUUUGACCAAAGAAUUGGGACCACUGGUUUUAACGAGCUUUUAGAAAUCCGUCCGCCAUUUUGAUUUAAAUAUAUUGGUAAGACAAUUGUCCUCGUGGCGUAAUUACCCACGUUAGCCUUGUCCGUGCUGGCCCAAUCUGGCGUCCUUUUAAGUAGACUGCUUUUUAAAUAGAUGUGCAUCUCUUUUACUGGGCUUUUACGGUGUUGACUGCUUUUAGAUUCAGUCAUUUUAGACAUUGUUUUUAUAUUGAGUUUGACUAUUUUUAACUGUAGUUUAUGAUUCAGAGUGGAAUAUAUUGUAUUUUAAAUUCAUUUGAGUUGUCAACUAUUGUGGCGCUCACACACCACCUCACUGCGGAACCAUCCUUUGGUUGCACCUGAACGUACUGCAGGAACACAAUGUCCAGCUCUUCCUCUUUAG
This is a long non-coding RNA of Gasterosteus aculeatus aculeatus (three-spined stickleback), 1436 nucleotides long. NCBI's taxonomy places the organism in Eukaryota, Metazoa, Chordata, Actinopteri, Perciformes, Gasterosteidae. The record is from Ensembl.